RNAcentral lists this ribosomal RNA (486 nucleotides) under uncultured bacterium. RNAcentral's name for it is "partial 16S ribosomal RNA". It matches the Rfam family "Bacterial small subunit ribosomal RNA", at positions 29 to 507 of the family's 1533-position model. The record is from RNAcentral.
AUUGAACGCUGGCGGCAUGCCUUACACAUGCAAGUCGAACGGCAGCACGGGUGCUUGCACCUGGUGGCGAGUGGCGAACGGGUGAGUAAUACAUCGGAACAUGUCCUGUAGUGGGGGAUAGCCCGGCGAAAGCCGGAUUAAUACCGCAUACGAUCUACGGAUGAAAGCGGGGGACCUUCGGGCCUUGGGCAAUAGGGUUGGCCGAUGGCUGAUGAGCUAGUUGGUGGGGUAAAGGCCUACCAAGGCGACGAUCAGUAUCUGGUCUGAGAGGAAGACCAGCCACACGGGGACUGAGAAACGGCCCAGACUCCUACGGGAGGCAGCAGUGGGGAAUUUUGGACAAUGGGGGAAAGCCUGAUCCAGCAAUGCCGCGUGUGUGAAGAAGGCCUUCGGGUUGUAAAGCACUUUUGUCCGGAAAGAAAUCCUUGGCCCUAAUACGGUCGGGGGAUGACGGUACCGGAAGAAUAAGCACCGGCUAACUACGUG